RNAcentral lists this ribosomal RNA (623 nucleotides) under Phaeogenes sp. NMBS Ichn-2362. RNAcentral's name for it is "partial large subunit ribosomal RNA". The record is from RNAcentral. Lineage: Eukaryota; Metazoa; Arthropoda; Insecta; Hymenoptera; Ichneumonidae.
GAUUCAUCGUCAGCGAUUCUGGUACGUGUGCGGUUCGCGAUGUCGGAGACUUCGGUCUCACGGCACGCGUCCGCAUGUUUUUUAUUGCCGGAGUCGUCGGCGUGCACUUCUCCCCUAGUAGGACGUCGCGACCCGUUGGGUGUCGGUCUACGGCACGGUAGGGCAGCCUGUCUCGUGUGGCGCUUCACGGCGUUCACUGCGGGGCAGACCUCCGUCCGCCCGACCGACUGCUCGGCGGUACUCGCAUGAUAUCUAGUCGCAGCCAUUCGAACUGCGUCCGGCCCGUCGCAAGCGAGGCAAGUGUUCCCGGCUGUACGGAUCUGAUGCCGUCACCGGGCCUUGCCAGCUGUUGGCUGACGGUGUCCUAGGACAGGCUAACACAAAUUAUGAUAUCGGUCAGCGACGCUWCUGCUUUGGGUACUUUCAGGACCCGUCUUGAAACACGGACCAAGGAGUCUAACAUGUGCGCGAGUCAUUGGGACUUGUAAGCCUAAAGGCGAAAUGAAAGUAAAGGUCGGCCUCGCGCCGACCGAGGGAGGAUGGGCCGCGUCACGAUGCGGUCUCGCACUCCCGGGGCGUCUCGUUCUCAUUGCGAGAAGAGGCGCACCCAGAGCGUACACGUU